RNAcentral lists this ribosomal RNA (462 nucleotides) under uncultured bacterium. Its description in RNAcentral is "SSU rRNA". It matches the Rfam family "Bacterial small subunit ribosomal RNA", at positions 26 to 518 of the family's 1533-position model. The record is from RNAcentral.
AGAGCGAACGCUGGCGGCAGGCCUAAUACAUGCAAGUCGAACGGACCCUUCGGGGUUAGUGGCGGACGGGUGAGUAACACGUGGGAACGUGCCCUUUGGUUCGGAACAACUCAGGGAAACUUGAGCUAAUACCGAAUGUGCCCCCAUCCUUAAACAAGAUGGGUGGGAAAGAUUUAUCGCCAUUGGAGCGGCCCGCGUCUGAUUAGCUAGUUGGUGGGGUAAAGGCUCACCAAGGCGACGAUCAGUAGCUGGUCUGAGAGGAUGAUCAGCCACACUGGGACUGAGACACGGCCCAGACUCCUACGGGAGGCAGCAGUAGGGAAUCUUGCGCAAUGGGCGAAAGCCUGACGCAGCCAUGCCGCGUGAAUGAUGAAGGUCUUAGGAUUGUAAAAUUCUUUCAGCGGGGACGAUAAUGACGGUACCCGCAGAAGAACGCCCGGCUAACUUCGUGCCAGCAGCCGC